Molecule: long non-coding RNA, 244 nt
Filed under: Nicotiana benthamiana
Lineage: Eukaryota; Viridiplantae; Streptophyta; Magnoliopsida; Solanales; Solanaceae
Description: long non-coding RNA (NBEN_LNC039321)
Source: RNAcentral
AAGUUGUAGUAAUAGGAGAUAUCAAAUCCUUCCUUUAUUUAUAGUCUCAAUAUAAUCAAUCGUUUUCGUGUGUACUUUUGAAACUGAAUAAGUUUCUUUGAGACUUACUACAGCACAAUACUUAAUUGUGUUUCUCCACCAUAGUAACAAUUGGCUCUUCUAGAGCUCUCAAUUAAUUUUGUACUACCACAGAUUCAUCAACAUCCAUGUGGUGAAUAUCUUUCUUAAAGAGAAAGUUANNNNN